AGUGAACGCUGGCGGUAGGCCUAACACAUGCAAGUCGAACGAAAGGACAGUAAGAGCUUGCCCUUACGGGUAGCGAGUGACGGGCGAGUGAGAAAUACAUAGGAAACUAAUUAUUCGUGGGGGAUAACGGAGGGCAAGAUACGAUACUACAGAAUACGACCUACGGGAGAAAGCAAGGGAUAUUCGGACCUUGCGCGAUUGAAAGAGCCGGAGUCGGAUUAGCUAGUUGGCGGGGUAACGGAACACCAAGGCUACGAUACGUAGCUGACCUGAGAGGAUGAUCAGCCACACUGGAACUGAGACACGGUCCAGACUCCUACGGGAGGCAGCAGUGGGGAAUAUUGGACAAUGGGCGCAAGCCUGACCCAGCCAUGCCGCGUGGGUGAAGAAGGUCUUCGGGUUGUAAAGCCCUUUUGUUGGGAAAGAAAAGCUGCAUGUGAAUACCCCCCUGUUCUGACGGUACCCAAACAGAAAGCACCGGCUAACUUCGUG
This 492-nucleotide ribosomal RNA is filed under the name uncultured bacterium. Its description in RNAcentral is "partial 16S ribosomal RNA". It matches the Rfam family "Bacterial small subunit ribosomal RNA", at positions 29 to 507 of the family's 1533-position model. The record is from RNAcentral.